RNAcentral lists this ribosomal RNA (765 nucleotides) under Triticum aestivum (bread wheat). RNAcentral describes it as "partial small subunit ribosomal RNA". The record is from RNAcentral. Lineage: Eukaryota; Viridiplantae; Streptophyta; Magnoliopsida; Poales; Poaceae.
AUGGAGUUAUGUUUGUCUCAUAUGCUUCAUCUUUUUAGUAUCUUUCGUGAGUAUGAUGGAAAGGAAAAUUGUGCCAAAGUGCUAGAAGAAGAAUUACAUAGAAUGCCUGGCAUGAAAUAUGUGAAUGAUGAGCAUGAUUGCAAUGUUGUUAGUAUGAAUUCCUUGAAUAUCCAUGAUGCUAAUGAUAUGCAAAGCCACAAGCUUGGGGAAGCUAUGUUUGAUGAAGAUGAUAUUUUUUGUCCCCCAAGCUUUGAUGAGCAAAUUUACUAUGAUGAAAGCAUGCCUCCUAUCUAUGAUGAUUAUUGUGAUGACAUGUAUGCUUUAAAGAAUAAUGAUAACCAUGAAACUUGUCAUCUUGAUCUUAAUUUUCAAUCAUAUGAUAGUUAUUUUGUUGAGUUUGCUCCCACUACUAUUGAUGAGAAGAAUUUUGCUUAUGUGGAGAGUAGUAAAUUUUCUAUGCUUGUAGGUCAUGAAAAGAAUGCUUUAGGUGCUGUUUAUAUUGUUGAAUUCAUUCAUGAUGCUACUGAAAAUUAUUAUGAGGGAGGAACAUAUGCUUGUAGGAGUUGCAAUAAUGUCAAGUUUCCUCUCUAUGUGCUUAAAAUCUUGAAGUUAUGCUUGUUUUACCUUCCUAUGCAAGUUGAUUAUUGUUCUCAUAAUUUGUUUGCUCACAAAAUCCCUAUUCAUAGGAAGUGGGUUAGACUUAAAUGUGCUAGUCAUAUGCUUCAUGAUGCUCCCGCUAUGUUUCAAUUCUUAUCCUUUUUGUGA